GUUAAUGUAGCUUAAGCUAAAGCAAAGCACUGAAAAUGCUAAGAUGAGUAUAUAUACUCCAUAAACA
RNAcentral lists this transfer RNA (67 nucleotides) under Hadrosciurus sp. 3 EFA-2022. RNAcentral's name for it is "tRNA-Phe". It matches the Rfam family "tRNA". From Rfam's summary of the family: Transfer RNA (tRNA) molecules are approximately 80 nucleotides in length. Their secondary structure includes four short double-helical elements and three loops (D, anti-codon, and T loops). Further hydrogen bonds mediate the characteristic L-shaped molecular structure. tRNAs have two regions of fundamental functional importance: the anti-codon, which is responsible for specific mRNA codon recognition, and the 3' end, to which the tRNAs corresponding amino acid is attached (by aminoacyl-tRNA synthetases). tRNAs cope with the degeneracy of the genetic code in two manners: having more than one tRNA (with a specific anti-codon) for a particular amino acid; and 'wobble' base-pairing, i.e. permitting non-standard base-pairing at the 3rd anti-codon position. The record is from RNAcentral. Lineage: Eukaryota; Metazoa; Chordata; Mammalia; Rodentia; Sciuridae.